Molecule: ribosomal RNA, 425 nt
Filed under: uncultured bacterium
Lineage: Bacteria
Description: bacterial SSU rRNA
Rfam family: Bacterial small subunit ribosomal RNA
Source: RNAcentral
GUUAGGAAUAUUGGACAAUGGGGGCAACCCUGAUCCAGCCAUGCCGCGUGUGUGAAGAAGGCCUUAGGGUUGUAAAGCACUUUCGGCUGUGAAGAUAAUGACAGUAGCAGAAGAAGAAGCUCCGGCUAAAUUCGUGCCAGCAGCCGCGGUAAUACGAAUGGAGCGAGCGUUGUUCGGAAUCACUGGGCGUAAAGGGUGCGCAGGCGGUCUUGAAAGUUAGAAGUGAAAGCCCCGGGCUUAACCCGGGAAUUGCUUUUAAAACUCCAAGACUAGAGUACUGGAGAGGUUCGCGGAAUUCCAAGUGUAGCAGUGAAAUGCGUAGAUAUUUGGAGGAACACCGAUGGCGUAGGCAGCCAACUGGACAGUAACUGACGCUCAUGCACGAAAGCGUGGGGAUCAAACAGGAUUAGAUACCCGGGUAGUCC